This 548-nucleotide long non-coding RNA is filed under the name Ananas comosus (pineapple). RNAcentral describes it as "long non-coding RNA (ACOM_LNC037734)". Lineage: Eukaryota; Viridiplantae; Streptophyta; Magnoliopsida; Poales; Bromeliaceae. The record is from RNAcentral.
AUCACCUCCCUCUUAACAUUUUUUUUAGAAUUAAUUGCAUACAGAUUUAUGUAAAUAUAGUGAAUUAUAAAUAUAUUCAUGUAAAGUUAUUUCUGCAAAAGUGGGCCCCAUUUGGUUCGGGGGAUAAAUGGGGAUAACGAAAGUUAUCCCUGCUAUUCUUCCAAACGGGAUGAAAUUUGGCAAGAAUAUUUUAUUCCGGUCAAAUCUUGCUAUUUCCGAUUAUCCCAGAAUAGUAAGGGAUUUGCUAUUCUACCAUUUUGGUGGAAUAGUGUUAUUCCAAUGUUUAAUUUCAAACUUAAUUAAAAUUAUAAAUUAAAUUAAAACUAAAUUAUAUAAAUAUAAUAUGUUAGAUAUUAUAAUACAUUAUUUUAAUUAUAAAAUUAUUAAUUGUACUAUAUUAACACAAAUUAUUUAUAUUUAAAUAUUAUAAUAAAAUUUAUAAUAAAUUAUAUUUAAAUUUUAUAAUUAAUUCUUUUUUUUAAAAUUUAAGUUUAAGUAGAAUUUUUUAAAAAAAUUAUAAAUUUAUUAUAAUAAAUUAUUUUUAUUAA